UGGGGAAUAUUGCACAAUGGACGGAAGUUUGAUGCAGCGACGCCGCGUGGAGGGUGUAGGCCUUCGGGUUGUGAACUCCUUUUUCUCGCGAAAAAGGCACAGUUUUGGCUGUGUUGAUGGUAGUGGGGGAAGAAGCGCCGGCUAACUACGUGCCAGCAGCCGCGGUAAUACGUAGGGCGCGAGCGUUGUCCGGAUGUAUUGGGCGUAAAGAGCUCGUAGGUGGUUCGUCGCGUCUGUCGUGAAAGCCAGCAGCUUAACUGUUGGUCUGCGGUGGGUACGGGCGGGCUUGAGUGCGGUAGGGGUGACUGGAAUUCCUGGUGUAGCGGUGGAAUGCGCAGAUAUCAGGAGGAACACCGAUGGCGAAGGCAGGUCACUGGGCCGUUACUGACACUGAGGAGCGAAAGCGUGGGGAGCGAACAGG
Molecule: ribosomal RNA, 421 nt
Filed under: Fusobacteriota bacterium
Lineage: Bacteria; Fusobacteriati; Fusobacteriota
Description: Fusobacteria bacterium partial 16S ribosomal RNA
Rfam family: Bacterial small subunit ribosomal RNA
Source: RNAcentral